This 74-nucleotide transfer RNA is filed under the name Suicoccus acidiformans. It matches the Rfam family "tRNA". From Rfam's summary of the family: Transfer RNA (tRNA) molecules are approximately 80 nucleotides in length. Their secondary structure includes four short double-helical elements and three loops (D, anti-codon, and T loops). The record is from Rfam by way of RNAcentral. Lineage: Bacteria; Bacillati; Bacillota; Bacilli; Lactobacillales; Aerococcaceae.
GGAGAUAUAGCUCAAUCGGAUAGAGCAUUCCUCUCCUAAAGGAAAGGUUCCCGGUUCAAUUCCGGGUAUCUCCG